CAAGGAAGCAGCUGUCCCAACAAUCCUGCACAACACAACUCACCACCUCACUCCCACCAGCAGCAAAAACUCCCUCCAAAAGCCUCCCCAGCCACCUCCAUCCAGCUCCUCCUGCACUCUCAUCCAGGGGGACCUCUACAACCAUUCUCUGCUACAUCAGCUUCUGCCUUCCCUCAAUAAGGAACAGCAACUCUCAGCCCCAGGGAUAACUCCGCAGGGAGGGAAGCACUCUGGCAGCAACCUGAAGCGCGUGGUGCAACUGCUCACAGACAGAAGCUGUUCUCUAAUCAAACACUGACGCAGCUUCAUAUUUCAGGCUCAGAGUGCCAACAUUUCUUGGACCUUUACACCUGCACUCAUCACUAACAGCAGCAACUCACACAGGACACAGAAGGCAGCCUUGCUAAGCGUCUUUCAACUGGAAAGAAAUAGGAAUAAGAUAUUUUUCAUAAGAAUAUAUGCUUUAAAGCAUUGAAACAUGCUCUUUGAUGUCUACUGGUUAAGGCCUGGGCCUACAGUAACUAAAAGAUCUCCACGUUGCCAGAGCUUACCUUUCAUAAACACUCACAUCGGGUUCACCUUGGGUGCUCCUUUAGGAUCCUCGAUGACUCUACUUUGAACUACACAAGGAGCAAAUGACUCUCGGACACCAUCACCUUCCAACUGAGCCUACACGUUCCAAUGCUGUUCUCAUCUGCUCAUAACUAAUGUGUGCGUUACUUAGGAAAGAGCAACAGCAGUGCUGCAGUCCCACGCACUGAUUUCAUUACUGUACAGAAACACGCUGCUGUAAAUUAACCAGUACAUAAUGAUUCGUCAUAAAUAAUUACAACUAAAAGUGCAACUGACAGAAUGAACGAAGCACAAACACGAUGUAAUCCUGUAUUCUUCUUAUCCUACCUGAUAACGUCCUGAUUUAGCUCAAACACCAAAUCUGAGUCUGCUUAAACACAGGAUAGAAUUCUUCUCUUUUCUAGGUAGACAUAGGACUGUCUGACAAAACCUGCUGCUUCAAUCUCUCCGGGAAUCCUCUGUAUCCUGCUCCAUCACGGCUUGCAGCUCCCUGCCAGGUCUUCUCUGAGGAACAGAUGGAAAUUAUAAGGAACGGGAAUGUUCUCCUUUACUGUGUUCGGCAGAAUUCCAUGAUGGAAUGGGGUAUGAACAGCAAAUGAGAUUGGCCCAUGGGAAAAGAUCACUUGUAGCUGCCCUCUGACAGUAGGAAAAGGAUCUUCUUCCCAUCUGUUGCUGCCUACACUCAUCACAGCCUUGCUUGGAGUCUGAGUGAAGGGCCUGCCAGCCUGCUCUGCUGCACAGAAACCCCGUAGAGAACCCAGGGUGUUCUAAAGGAAAGCCUUCAGGCACUGUGUGAUGCUGGGGAAAAGAGGUCAUAUGUUUGGCUCCAGCAGAACUGCAUUCCCCUGGCUCCUGACUUCUGGUUAAAGCAUUGUAGCUGAGAGCAGCAACCCACAGAACCACACCAUGGAUGAGGACACUGGUAGCUUUGCACUGAAUACAGACCAGCAGAGCUUAUAAUUCCCUCUUCUUUGCAAUGCUGAUGGAUUGAUCUUGACUUUGCUGAUCUGCCAGGACAGAGCAGCUGACACCUGACUCCUCCAUGCUGCACUGGGUGCUCACAGCUGUGUGAGCCACAGUUUUAAGCACACAACAAACUCCCACAGACCGACUUCAUUUCUUUUUUUUUUUUUUUCUUUAGGCAAGUCUCUCUUAGUAUUUUAAAAAUUCAUUUUAAUCAAUUUAAAAUUAAUAAAGAAACAGUGAAAUCCUC
Long non-coding RNA from Gallus gallus (chicken), 1786 nucleotides. Lineage: Eukaryota; Metazoa; Chordata; Aves; Galliformes; Phasianidae. The record is from Ensembl.